RNAcentral lists this transfer RNA (65 nucleotides) under Psilodens balduri. RNAcentral's name for it is "tRNA-Met". Lineage: Eukaryota; Metazoa; Mollusca; Caudofoveata; Limifossorida; Limifossoridae. The record is from RNAcentral.
AGAUAAGUAAGCUAUUUAAGCUGUUGGGCUCAUACCUCAAAAAAAUCCUGUUUGGUUCUUAUUUA